Molecule: ribosomal RNA, 253 nt
Filed under: uncultured bacterium
Lineage: Bacteria
Description: partial 16S ribosomal RNA
Rfam family: Bacterial small subunit ribosomal RNA
Source: RNAcentral
UACGUAGGGUGCGAGCGUUAAUCGGAAUUACUGGGCGUAAAGCGUGCGCAGGCGGUUUUGUAAGCCAGAUGUGAAAGCCCCGGGCUUAACCUGGGAAUGGCAUUUGGGACUGCAAGGCUGGAGUACGGCAGAGGGAGGUGGAAUUCCAGGUGUAGCAGUGAAAUGCGUAGAUAUCUGGAGGAACACCGAUGGCGAAGGCAGCCUCCUGGGCUAGUACUGACGCUCAUGCACGAAAGCGUGGGGAGCAAACAGG